GGUUAACCGAAUAGGGGAGCCGGAGGGAAACCGAGUCUUAACCGGGCGUUAAGUUGCAGGGUAUAGACCCGAAACCCGGUGAUCUAGCCAUGGGCAGGUUGAAGGUUGGGUAACACUAACUGGAGGACCGAACCGACUAAUGUUGAAAAAUUAGCGGAUGACCUGUGGCUGGGGGUGAAAGGCCAAUCAAACCGGGAGAUAGCUGGUUCUCCCCGAAAGCUAUUUAGGUAGCGCCUCGUGAAUUCAUCUCCGGGGGUAGAGCACUGUUUCGGCUAGGGGGCCAUCCCGGCUUACCAACCCGAUGCAAACUGCGAAUACCGGAGAAUGUUAUCACGGGAGACACACGGCGGGUGCUAACGUCCGUCGUGAAGAGGGAAACAACCCAGACCGCCAGCUAAGGUCCCAAAGUCAUGGUUAAGUGGGAAACGAUGUGGGAAGGCCCAGACAGCCAGGAUGUUGGCUUAGAAGCAGCCAUCAUUUAAAGAAAGCGUAAUAGCUCACUGGUCGAGUCGGCCUGCGCGGAAGAUGUAACGGGGCUAAACCAUGCACCGAAGCUGCGGCAGCGACACUGUGUGUUGUUGGGUAGGGGAGCGUUCUGUAAGCCUGUGAAGGUGUGUCGUGAGGCAUGCUGGAGGUAUCAGAAGUGCGAAUGCUGACAUAAGUAACGAUAAAGCGGGUGAAAAGCCCGCUCGCCGGAAGACCAAGGGUUCCUGUCCAACGUUAAUCGGGGCAGGGUGAGUCGACCCCUAAGGCGAGGCCGAAAGGCGUAGUCGAUGGGAAACGGGUUAAUAUUCCCGUACUUGGUGUUACUGCGAAGGGGGGACGGAGAAGGCUAUGUUGGCCGGGCGACGGUUGUCCCGGUUUAAGCGUGUAGGUGUGUGUUCCAGGUAAAUCCGGUUCACUUUAACACUGAGGCGUGACGACGAGGCACUACGGUGCUGAAGCAACAAAUGCCCUGCUUCCAGGAAAAGCCUCUAAGCAUCAGGUAACAUCAAAUCGUACCCCAAACCGACACAGGUGGUCAGGUAGAGAAUACCAAGGCGCUUGAGAGAACUCGGGUGAAGGAACUAGGCAAAAUGGUGCCGUAACUUCGGGAGAAGGCACGCUGACACGUAGGUGAAGUGAUUUACUCAUGGAGCUGAAGUCAGUCGAAGAUACCAGCUGGCUGCAACUGUUUAUUAAAAACACAGCACUGUGCAAACACGAAAGUGGACGUAUACGGUGUGACGCCUGCCCGGUGCCGGAAGGUUAAUUGAUGGGGUCAGCGCAAGCGAAGCUCCUGAUCGAAGCCCCGGUAAACGGCGGCCGUAACUAUAACGGUCCUAAGGUAGCGAAAUUCCUUGUCGGGUAAGUUCCGACCUGCACGAAUGGCGUAAUGAUGGCCAGGCUGUCUCCACCCGAGACUCAGUGAAAUUGAACUCGCUGUGAAGAUGCAGUGUACCCGCGGCAAGACGGAAAGACCCCGUGAACCUUUACUAUAGCUUGACACUGAACAUUGAGCCUUGAUGUGUAGGAUAGGUGGGAGGCUUUGAAGUGUGGACGCCAGUCUGCAUGGAGCCGACCUUGAAAUACCACCCUUUAAUGUUUGAUGUUCUAACGUGGACCCGUUACCCGGGUUGCGGACAGUGUCUGGUGGGUAGUUUGACUGGGGCGGUCUCCUCCUAAAGAGUAACGGAGGAGCACGAAGGUUGGCUAAUCCUGGUCGGACAUCAGGAGGUUAGUGCAAUGGCAUAAGCCAGCUUGACUGCGAGCGUGACGGCGCGAGCAGGUGCGAAAGCAGGUCAUAGUGAUCCGGUGGUUCUGAAUGGAAGGGCCAUCGCUCAACGGAUAAAAGGUACUCCGGGGAUAACAGGCUGAUACCGCCCAAGAGUUCAUAUCGACGGCGGUGUUUGGCACCUCGAUGUCGGCUCAUCACAUCCUGGGGCUGAAGUAGGUCCCAAGGGUAUGGCUGUUCGCCAUUUAAAGUGGUACGCGAGCUGGGUUUAGAACGUCGUGAGACAGUUCGGUCCCUAUCUGCCGUGGGCGCUGGAGAACUGAGGGGGGCUGCUCCUAGUACGAGAGGACCGGAGUGGACGCAUCACUGGUGUUCGGGUUGUCAUGCCAAUGGCACUGCCCGGUAGCUAAAUGCGGAAGAGAUAAGUGCUGAAAGCAUCUAAGCACGAAACUUGCCCCGAGAUGAGUUCUCCCUGAGACUUAGAGUCUCCUGAAGGAACGUUGAAGACGACGACGUUGAUAGGCCGGGUGUGUAAGCGCAGCGAUGCGUUGAGCUAACCGGUACUAAUGAACCGUGAGGCUUAACCUUACAACGCCGAAG
This 2314-nucleotide ribosomal RNA is filed under the name Salmonella enterica subsp. enterica serovar Enteritidis. RNAcentral's name for it is "partial 23S ribosomal RNA". It matches the Rfam family "Bacterial large subunit ribosomal RNA", at positions 644 to 2925 of the family's 2925-position model. Lineage: Bacteria; Pseudomonadati; Pseudomonadota; Gammaproteobacteria; Enterobacterales; Enterobacteriaceae. The record is from RNAcentral.